This 421-nucleotide ribosomal RNA is filed under the name Mithrax hispidus. RNAcentral's name for it is "partial 16S ribosomal RNA". It matches the Rfam family "Bacterial large subunit ribosomal RNA", at positions 1946 to 2570 of the family's 2925-position model. The record is from RNAcentral. Lineage: Eukaryota; Metazoa; Arthropoda; Malacostraca; Decapoda; Mithracidae.
CCGUGCAAAGGUAGCAUAAUCAUUAGUUUUUUAAUUGGAAACUUGUAUGAAUGGUUAGACAAAAGAAGUACUGUCUCUGUUUAUUAGAAUUUGAAUUUAACUUUUAAGUGAAAAGGCUUAGAUUUUUCAAGGGGACGAUAAGACCCUAUAAAGCUUUAUAAAUAACUAGAUAUUUUUUAGAUUAUAGGAUAAAAAAAAAUUCUCAGGGGUUUAUUAUGUUGGGGCGACACGGAUAUAACUAAAAGCAACUAUCAGAAAAUAAAACAAUAAUUUUUGGAAUUCAUGAUCCUAAGUAAAGAUUACAAGACUAAGUUACUUUAGGGAUAACAGCGUUAUUCUUUUUGAGAGUUCAUAUCGAAAAAAGAGUUUGCGACCUCGAUGUUGAAUCAAAAAAUCUUUAUGAUGCAGCAAUUAUAAAAGA